This 406-nucleotide ribosomal RNA is filed under the name uncultured bacterium. RNAcentral's name for it is "partial 16S ribosomal RNA". It matches the Rfam family "Bacterial small subunit ribosomal RNA", at positions 30 to 526 of the family's 1533-position model. The record is from RNAcentral.
AUUGAACGCUGGCGGCAGGCCUAACACAUGCAAGUCGAACGAGUUGCCGACGGGUGAGUAAUUUCUGGGAAACUGCCUGAUGGAUGGGGGUUACUACUGGAAACGGUAGCUAAUUCCGCAUUCCUUCACAAGUGCCCAGAUGGGAAUAGCGAGUUGGUGGGGUAACGGCGCACCAAGGCGACGAGCCCUAGCUGGUCUGAGAGGAUGACCAGCAAAACUGGAACUGAGACACGGUCCAGACUCCGACGGGAGGCAGCAGGGGGGAAUAUUGGACAAUGGGGGCAAGCCUGAUGCAGCCAUGCCGCGUGUAUGAAGAAGGCCUUCGGGUUGUAAAGUACUUUGAGCGGGGAGGCGGUACCCACAGAAGAAGCACCGGCUAACUCCGUGCCAGCAGCCGCGGUAAUUC